UACGUAGGGGGCGAGCGUUGUCCGGAAUGACUGGGCGUAAAGGGCGUGUAGGCGGCCGAUUAAGUCUGGAGUGAAAGUCCUGCUUUUAAGGUGGGAAUUGCUCUGGAUACUGAUUGGCUUGAGUGCGGAAGAGGUAAGUGGAAUUCCCAGUGUAGCGGUGAAAUGCGUAGAGAUUGGGAGGAACACCAGUGGCGAAGGCGACUUACUGGGCCGUAACUGACGCUGAGGCGCGAAAGCGUGGGGAGCGAACAGG
This 253-nucleotide ribosomal RNA is filed under the name uncultured Eubacteriales bacterium. RNAcentral describes it as "uncultured Clostridiales bacterium partial 16S ribosomal RNA". It matches the Rfam family "Bacterial small subunit ribosomal RNA", at positions 524 to 776 of the family's 1533-position model. Lineage: Bacteria; Bacillati; Bacillota; Clostridia; Eubacteriales. The record is from RNAcentral.